Non-coding RNA from Equus caballus (horse), 238 nucleotides. Lineage: Eukaryota; Metazoa; Chordata; Mammalia; Perissodactyla; Equidae. The record is from RefSeq and is a predicted model, not a curated record.
UCCUAGGUAUUCCCAUCCCUGCCUUCCUGUGUGGGGUGGGGCUCCUUCUUCUGUCACUGUGCUACCUAAAGAGGAGUCCAUGUUUCCCAAAAUUUCGGAAAGAGAGAGACAUCAAUCAGUGUCAGGGCAGAGCCAAGAGGAGAAGAAAAGGUGGAACACCAAGUGGUUGGAGAGCUUGCCAGAGCGAAGCAGAGGAGGCAAGGAAGGUGCUUUCUCUGCUGCAAAGGUGACUAAACAC